This 393-nucleotide unclassified non-coding RNA is filed under the name fungal sp. Its description in RNAcentral is "partial internal transcribed spacer region". Lineage: Eukaryota; Fungi. The record is from RNAcentral.
AAGUCGUAACAAGGUUUCCGUAGGUGAUGAUUUAAAAACUGUUCGGCGAUGAUUUACCAGAGAUUGCCGGUUUAUGACGUGGAUGUAACUCGUACAAUGAAGGUUACAGGGGGUUUAACGUUGGAUACGUGUUAAUGAUUCAGAGACCUCUGGGAAGGGUGUACGGUAGUGCGAGGCAAUUGACCUGGCAUUCCUCUGCUUGUUAGUGUCUGAAAGUGUCACUAGCUAUGUACGGAUGGCGCAGUAACGAUCGCUGGAGGCCGACACGGCCGGCGACCAGGUCACUGGGCUACGGCCCCCCUGAUCACAACCUUUGCAUGAAAACGGGCCUGCGCUGAGGUGCGGCCACCCCUAAUGCUUGAACAACUGUUAACAAUGGAUAUCUUGGUUCUC